This is a non-coding RNA of Pelobates cultripes (western spadefoot toad), 244 nucleotides long. NCBI's taxonomy places the organism in Eukaryota, Metazoa, Chordata, Amphibia, Anura, Pelobatidae. The record is from the annotation of a GenBank genome assembly.
CAGAGGGAGGAGACACUGAAUGUUUGGAUGCAUUUAGACCAUCUGAGGAGUGGCCAGUGAAGUUAUCACUAGGCUGUUAUGUAAACACUGCAUUUUCUCUGAAAAGACAGUGUUUACAGCAAAAAGCCUGAAGGUAAUGAUUCUACUUACCAGAACAAAUUCAAUAAGCUGUAGUUGUUCUGGUGACUAUAGUGUCCCUUUAAUUUCAAUGCAAAUCUGUCUAUCAAAGUGUCAGAUAGUAUAA